RNAcentral lists this non-coding RNA (814 nucleotides) under Haplodiplatys aotouensis. Lineage: Eukaryota; Metazoa; Arthropoda; Insecta; Dermaptera; Haplodiplatyidae. The record is from RNAcentral.
UUAAAAUUUAAUUCUAAUUUAGAAAUUUAUACAUACAAUUUUAUAAACAUGUAAUAAUAUAGCAAGUAUUUUUUAAAAAUUUACAAAUAAAGGUUAAACCUUUUAAUUAACAGUUUAAAAUUUUAGUAAUAUCAUUUUAAUAAAAAGAUCUAGUAAAAUAACAUAUCAUCAGCCCAAUAUUGUGCCAGCCGCUGCGGUUAAACAAUAAAUGAAAAUAAAUUUUAUCGUAAACAGUAAAUUUCAAGUAAAAAUUUUUGAUUAAAAAUGAUAACUAAAAGAGUAAAAUCUAAAAUUUAUCUAAUAAAUCAUUAAUAUUUUUUAAAAAAAACUGAAGAAAAAUAAAUAAAACUAGGAUUAGAUACCCUACUAUAAAAUUUAAAAUUUUAAAUUAUAAACAAGGUAGUAGAAAUUUUUAACUCAAAACCUAAAGAAUCUGGCGGUAACCUAACCAAUUAGAGGAACCUGUCUCAUAAUCGAUAAUCCACGAACAAUGCACUUUAUUAUCUACAUAGUUUGUAUACCAUCGUCAUAAUAAAAUAUUUAAAAAUUAUUUUAAAUCCUCUCUAAAGAGAGAAGUCAGAUCAAGGUGCAGCUUUAAUAAAGAGAAGAUGGGUUACAAUAAAUCAAUUAUUACGGAAAUAUAAAAGUAACUUUUUAUAUCAAAGGAGAAUUUAAAAGUAAAAAAAAAAAAAAAAAACUCUUGAAUUGGGCCCUAGGUUAUGCACACAUCGCCCGUCACUCUCAUAAUCUAACCUGAGAUAAGUCGUAACAAAGUAGGUGUACCGGAAGGUGUACCUAGAAAGAAAUCAAUAAU